GAACGGGUGAGUAACACCGUGGGUGAUCUGCCUUGCACUUCGGGAUAAGCUUGGGAAACUGGGUCUAAUACCGGAUAGGACAGCUGUUUAGUGUCAGUUGUGGAAAGUUUUUUCGGUGCAAGAUGAGCUCGCGGCCUAUCAGCUUGUUGGUGGGGUAAUGGCCUACCAAGGCGUCGACGGGUAGCCGGCCUGAGAGGGUGUACGGCCACAUUGGGACUGAGACACGGUCCAGACUCCUACGGGAGGCAGCAGUAGGGAAUCUUCCGCAAUGGGCGAAAGCCUGACGGAGCAACGCCGCGUGAGUGAUGAAGGUCUUCGGAUCGUAAAACUCUGUUAUUAGGGAAGAACAAAUGUGUAAGUAACUAUGCACGUCUUGACGGUACCUAAUCAGAAAGCCACGGCUAACUACGUGCCAGCAGCCGCGGUAAUACGUAGGUGGCAAGCGUUAUCCGGAAUUAUUGGGCGUAAAGCGCGCGUAGGCGGUUUUUUAAGUCUGAUGUGAAAGCCCACGGCUCAACCGUGGAGGGUCAUUGGAAACUGGAAAACUUGAGUGCAGAAGAGGAAAGUGGAAUUCCAUGUGUAGCGGUGAAAUGCGCAGAGAUAUGGAGGAACACCAGUGGCGAAGGCGACUUUCUGGUCUGUAACUGACGCUGAUGUGCGAAAGCGUGGGGAUCAAACAGGAUUAGAUACCCUGGUAGUCCAUGCCGUAAACGGUGGGCGCUAGGUGUAGGGGGCUUCCACGUCUUCUGUGCCGUAGCUACGCAUUAAGCGCCCCGCCUGGGGAGUAC
This 788-nucleotide ribosomal RNA is filed under the name uncultured Staphylococcus sp. RNAcentral's name for it is "bacterial SSU rRNA". It matches the Rfam family "Bacterial small subunit ribosomal RNA", at positions 100 to 883 of the family's 1533-position model. The record is from RNAcentral. Lineage: Bacteria; Bacillati; Bacillota; Bacilli; Caryophanales; Staphylococcaceae.